This 889-nucleotide non-coding RNA is filed under the name Drosophila sechellia. Its description in RNAcentral is "Eukaryotic small subunit ribosomal RNA". It matches the Rfam family "Eukaryotic small subunit ribosomal RNA", at positions 641 to 1435 of the family's 1831-position model. Lineage: Eukaryota; Metazoa; Arthropoda; Insecta; Diptera; Drosophilidae. The record is from Rfam by way of RNAcentral.
UACCGGUGGAGUUCUUAUAUGUGAUUAAAUACUUGUAUUUUUUCAUAUGUUCCUCCUAUUUAAAAACCUGCACUAGUGCUCUUAAACGAGUGUUAUUGUGGGCCGGUACUAUUACUUUGAACAAAUUAGAGUACUUAAAGCAGGCUUCAAAUGCCUGAAUAUUCUGUGCAUGGGAUAAUGAAAUAAGACCUCUGUUCUGCUUUCAUUGGUUUUCAAAUCAAGAGGUAAUGAUUAAUAGGAGCAGUUUGGGGGCAUUAGUAUUACGACGCGAGAGGUGAAAUUCUUGGACCGUCGUAAGACUAACUUAAGCGAAAGCAUUUGCCAAAGAUGUUUUCAUUAAUCAAGAACGAAAGUUAGAGGUUCUAAGGCGAUCAGAUACCGCCCUAGUUCUAACCAUAAACGAUGCCAGCUAGCAAUUGGGUGUAGCUACUUUUAUGGCUCUUUCAAUCGCUUCCCGGGAAACCAAAUCUUUUGGGCUCCGGGGGAAGUAUGGUUGCAAAGCUGAAACUUAAAGAAUUGACGGAAGGGCACCACCAGGAGUGGAGCCUGCGGCUUAAUUUGACUCAACACGGGAAAACUUACCAGGUCCGAACAUAAGUGUGUAAUAAAGAUUGAUAGCUCUCUCUCGAAUCUAUGGGCUGUGGUGCAAGGCUGUUCGUAGUUCGUGGAGUGAUUUGUCUGGUUAAUUCCGAUAACGAACGAGACUCCUGGAUAUUCCACAGAUAUCUACAGGAUUAUGGUGCUGAAGCUUAUGUUAGCCUUCAUACAUGGUGGCAGUAACAUGUGUAUUGUGUAUGAAUGUGUGUAUGACAGUGGGAGCCGUAACCUGUCGGGUUUGUCCCAUUAUAAGGACACUAGCUUUCUUAAAGUGGACAAAUUGCGUCUAGCA